AAAUAACAACACUGGAAAUUUUAUUUCUAGUGACUGGAAUGAUGGGAAUUUAAACCCCUUUCAGAGUAACAAUUGGAGGGCAAGUCUGGUGCCAGCAGCCGCGGUAAUUCCAGCUCCAAUAGCGUAUAUUAAAGUCGUUGCAGUUAAAAAGCUCGUAGUUGGAUGUCUGCUGGAAGCAAUCAGUCCGCCCUAUUUGUAGGGUGUGCACUUGAUGAAUUCUGGCAUUUUUGUCCCAAUGAUGUAACGGGGCGGUGGUACUCGGUGAAAGCCGAGUAUCCUGCUCUCCGAUUAUUGGGAUACUGUUACUUUGAGAAAAUUAGAGUGUUUGAAGCAGGCUAAUUGCCUUGAAUACUGCAGCAUGGAAUAACAAUAUAGGAUUUCGGUUCUAUUUUGUUGGUUUCUAGGACUGAAAUAAUGAUUAAUAGGGACAGUUGGGGGCAUUCGUAUUUA
Molecule: ribosomal RNA, 450 nt
Filed under: uncultured Sarcocystis sp.
Lineage: Eukaryota; Apicomplexa; Conoidasida; Eucoccidiorida; Sarcocystidae
Description: SSU rRNA
Rfam family: Eukaryotic small subunit ribosomal RNA
Source: RNAcentral